This is a long non-coding RNA of Gopherus evgoodei (Goodes thornscrub tortoise), 90 nucleotides long. RefSeq lists it as uncharacterized. The record is from RefSeq and is a predicted model, not a curated record. NCBI's taxonomy places the organism in Eukaryota, Metazoa, Chordata, Testudines, Testudinidae. The transcript has 3 exons.
UGAUCUGACUCACAGAAACAGCAUCUCAAAAUAAAGACAGAAGAGAACCCUUUUGAAAGUGUCCAGUUAGAAUUAGAAGAAAGUCAAACA